AUUGAACGCUGGCGGCAUGCUUUACACAUGCAAGUCGAACGGCAGCGCGGGCUUCGGCCUGGCGGCGAGUGGCGAACGGGUGAGUAAUGCAUCGGAAAGUGCCCAGUAGUGGGGGAUAGCCCGGCGAAAGCCGGAUUAAUACCGCAUACGACCUGAGGGUGAAAGCGGGGGACCGAAAGGCCUCGCGCUAUUGGAGCGGCCGAUGUCGGAUUAGCUAGUUGGUGGGGUAAAGGCUUACCAAGGCGACGAUCCGUAGCUGGUCUGAGAGGACGACCAGCCACACUGGGACUGAGACACGGCCCAGACUCCUACGGGAGGCAGCAGUGGGGAAUUUUGGACAAUGGGGGCAACCCUGAUCCAGCCAUGCCGCGUGAGGGAAGAAGGCCUUCGGGUUGUAAACCGCUUUUGUUCGGGAAGAAAUCCUCUGGGCUAAUACCCCGGGGGGAUGACGGUACCGGAAGAAUAAGCACCGGCUAACUACGUG
Molecule: ribosomal RNA, 484 nt
Filed under: uncultured bacterium
Lineage: Bacteria
Description: partial 16S ribosomal RNA
Rfam family: Bacterial small subunit ribosomal RNA
Source: RNAcentral